UUGAAACUGAAUGUCCUUAGGGCAUGUUUGGGUGUCCGUAAGUGAUUGAAGUGAAAAAAGUUACUUUUUAAAAAGUGAUUUUUAUAAAAGUCACUUUUGAGUUCAAAUGUUUGGUUUAAAAAAAGUGAAAUAAAAAGGUGUAAUUUUUAUGACUUCUAUUGUUUGGUUCUAUAUAAUCCAUCAACAUUCACAAAUAUUUUAUU
RNAcentral lists this long non-coding RNA (203 nucleotides) under Ananas comosus (pineapple). Its description in RNAcentral is "long non-coding RNA (ACOM_LNC041760)". The record is from RNAcentral. Lineage: Eukaryota; Viridiplantae; Streptophyta; Magnoliopsida; Poales; Bromeliaceae.